RNAcentral lists this ribosomal RNA (503 nucleotides) under uncultured bacterium. RNAcentral's name for it is "bacterial SSU rRNA". It matches the Rfam family "Bacterial small subunit ribosomal RNA", at positions 28 to 524 of the family's 1533-position model. The record is from RNAcentral.
GAUGAACGCUAGCGGCAGGCCUAAUACAUGCAAGACGAACGGUAAGUUGAGUAGCAAUACUUAGCCAAGAGUGUCGUACGGGUGCGUAACACGUAUGCAACCUACCCUAUACAGGAGGAUAGCCUAGGGAAACCUGGAUUAACCCUUCAUAGUAUUAUUGGAUGGCAUCAUUUGAUAAUUAAAACUGAGGUGGUAUAGGAUGGGCAUGCGUCUGAUUAGUUAGUUGGCGGGGUAAUGGCCCACCAAGACGAUGAUCAGUAGGGGUUCUGAGAGGAAGAUCCCCCACACUGGCACUGAGAUACGGGCCAGACUCCUACGGGAGGCAGCAGUAGGGAAUAUUGGUCAAUGGAUGCAAGUCUGAACCAGCCAUGCCGCGUGCAGGGAAGAAGGCCUUCUGGGGUUGUAAACUGCUUUUGCCAGGGGAUAAAAUUUCCAUGCGUGGAAAACUGAAGGUACCUGGUGAAUAAGCCACGGCUAAACUACGUGCCAGCAGCCGCGGUAAU